UUCAUAUUUGUCAUUAAAUUUUUUUUUCCACUCAAUAUAUGUAUUUUGACAUUAUUUGGAUACAAUUUUAUCAAAUUGCAUAUGCGGGGGUACAGACUUUUUUCCAACCCUACCUAUACAAACACAAUGAUGACGGAGGCAAAAAGGAGUCCCAAAUAUUCCACAAUCAUGAUGAAUGCAAUCGAAGAAACUAUUACAUUCUGGAACCGCAUCUUCUGAAUAGGAAGUCACAUCAUUCAAACCUGUAACACAAAUUAAAAAAAGAUAAAUCUCAAGUCUCUCUCUCUCUCUCUCUCUCUCUAUCUAUAUAUAUAUAUAUAUAUAUAUAUAUANNNCAUGUACAAGUGUUGUUUCAUGAUUUACAUAAACAUCUUUGAAUUUUAAAUUUAUGAAAAGGGAAAGGAAGAGAAGGUAAAAAGAAAUUAAUUAGUCUUUUGCAGUUUGGAAUGAAAAGAAAAGAAAAGAAACGGAUUUUUUUCUACACGUGAUUUUCAGGGUAGAAAAAUAUGUUUAGAAUUCCCUUUUUUUUCAUUCCUCUAAAAGCUUAAUAGGUGUUUUCCCCCGUUUAAUCGCUCUUACUUCUCUCAUUUUUCUAUUAAAAACAAACAAACAAACAAACAAACAAACUCAAGAGUAAGGUGAAAGCGACCUAAAACAAAAAGCAGAAAGAUCACAAUGAAUGUUCGUUCCAUUCUCGAUUAAUGAUGAAUUGGAUGAAAAAAUCAAUGUGUUGUGGGUGUGCAAUUGUG
RNAcentral lists this long non-coding RNA (749 nucleotides) under Lactuca sativa (garden lettuce). RNAcentral describes it as "long non-coding RNA (LSAT_LNC010107)". Lineage: Eukaryota; Viridiplantae; Streptophyta; Magnoliopsida; Asterales; Asteraceae. The record is from RNAcentral.